UAAGGAAUAUUGGUCAAUGGACGCAAGUCUGAACCAGCCAUGCCGCGUGAAGGAUGACGGCCCUCUGGGUUGUAAACUUCUUUUAUCUGGGACGAAAAACGGACUUUCUAGUUCACUUGACGGUACCAGAGGAAUAAGCACCGGCUAACUCCGUGCCAGCAGCCGCGGUAAUACGGAGGGUGCAAGCGUUAUCCGGAUUUACUGGGUUUAAAGGGUGCGUAGGUGGACAAGUAAGUCAGUGGUGAAAUCUCCGGGCUUAACCCGGAAACUGCCAUUGAUACUAUUUGUCUUGAAGACUUUGGAGGUAAGCGGAAUAUGUCAUGUAGCGGUGAAAUGCUUAGAUAUGACAUAGAACACCAAUUGCGAAGGCAGCUUACUACACAGUGAUUGACACUGAGGCACGAAAGCGUGGGGAUCAAACA
RNAcentral lists this ribosomal RNA (422 nucleotides) under uncultured Chitinophagaceae bacterium. RNAcentral describes it as "bacterial SSU rRNA". It matches the Rfam family "Bacterial small subunit ribosomal RNA", at positions 355 to 774 of the family's 1533-position model. Lineage: Bacteria; Pseudomonadati; Bacteroidota; Chitinophagia; Chitinophagales; Chitinophagaceae. The record is from RNAcentral.